GCCCCUAUGGCGUAGUGGUAGCGCGUGUCACUUGUAUUACAUUCUGCAAGAACAUGACAAGGUCUCUCGUUCGAUCCGGGAUGGGGGCA
RNAcentral lists this transfer RNA (89 nucleotides) under Xylaria grammica. It matches the Rfam family "tRNA". From Rfam's summary of the family: Transfer RNA (tRNA) molecules are approximately 80 nucleotides in length. Their secondary structure includes four short double-helical elements and three loops (D, anti-codon, and T loops). Further hydrogen bonds mediate the characteristic L-shaped molecular structure. tRNAs have two regions of fundamental functional importance: the anti-codon, which is responsible for specific mRNA codon recognition, and the 3' end, to which the tRNAs corresponding amino acid is attached (by aminoacyl-tRNA synthetases). tRNAs cope with the degeneracy of the genetic code in two manners: having more than one tRNA (with a specific anti-codon) for a particular amino acid; and 'wobble' base-pairing, i.e. permitting non-standard base-pairing at the 3rd anti-codon position. The record is from Rfam by way of RNAcentral. RNAcentral also lists the same sequence under 1 other name. Lineage: Eukaryota; Fungi; Ascomycota; Sordariomycetes; Xylariales; Xylariaceae.